Molecule: ribosomal RNA, 2247 nt
Filed under: Phacus segretii
Lineage: Eukaryota; Euglenozoa; Euglenophyceae; Euglenales; Phacaceae
Description: bacterial SSU rRNA
Rfam family: Eukaryotic small subunit ribosomal RNA
Source: RNAcentral
CCUGCCAGUAGUCAUAUGCUUCGUUCAAGGGCUAAGCCAUGCACGUCUCAGCGCAAACGGGUUCCACAGUGAGUCUGUGAAUGGCUCCUUACAUCAGCAGUCAUUUCCAUGAUAGAGUGUGGAUGGCACUACCUGCCAAGUGCCCGCUUGGAUAUCCUCCAAAACCUGGUGGCUAAUACACGGUCGAGAGGGUCCGCUGCGUUCCCGUUACUGUGAAGGCGGUUCGUCCGCCGGCGCUCGCCGGUCGGUGGACUGCGCCCGGCUGUCUGUGAAGAUCAGCACCCGGAUAACGGUAGCGUGUCGCUGUUGACCCAGGCCGGUCCCUCCGGGACGGCUGCGCUGGCAGAGUGGUGGGCCUCGGUCCACAGCAUUGCUUGAUCGUACAAACUUCUGACCUAUCAGCUCGGACUGUAGUGUCGUGGACUACAGUGGCGGUGACGGGUGACGGAGAAUCAGGGUUCGACUCCGGAGAGGGAGCCUGAGAGACGGCUACCACUACCAAGGUGGGCAGCAGGCACGCAAAUUGCCCCUUGCCAAGACGUAUCGGUGAGGCAGCGACGAACCGCAGCGAUCCCGCCCGUCCUCUGUGACUAGCGGGACUUGCAAUGGAUGCUAUCCAAACACAGCUAUGAGCAACAACUGGAGGGCAAGUCUGGUGCCAGCAGCCGCGGUAAUUCCAGCUCCAAGGGUGUAUACUGACAUUGCUGCUGUUAAAACACUUGUAGUCGGAUGCCGGGCGCGGGUCCGCCGGGUGGCCGGCGGGCGGCGGUCUUCGGGCCGUCCGUCCGCUGGAACCCAACCCCCGGCUGUAAGCCCCCGCGCCCGAGUCUUCAGGAUGGCCGAGCCGCUCCCGCCCAAGCCCCCUUCAGUGGGGGCCGAAGUGGCGUCGCGCCCAACGCCCGCGCGGCGGUGUCCGGGGUCGCUCACGCGCUCCCCGCACCGCCCGCCGCCGGAGCCGGUCCAUCGCUGUCACCGUGGAAAACCCAGUGUGCUCCAAGCAACCGUUCGGCUGGAUGUCCGUCCAUGGAAUGGCAAAGCAUCGACCUGAUAGUGGCCACUGUUUGUUGCUCUUGGUCUUGGGGCCCUGCCAGGGCAAACGAGGUGCCUAACCCCCGYYGGGUGACCCCGCGGACCCGAUCCCCCUCCGGGGGGUGAGGGGAAGCCGGAACCCACGGGGGAGGUGCCGUCUCGGCUUCGAUGGGACCGCUCGGGGUGCAAGGCAUUGCUGCGCCAGAGGUGAAAUUCUUAGACCGCCGCAAGGCCAACGGCGGCGAAGGCGUUCUGCAAGUGCGUGUUCGUCGAUCAAGAAUGAGAGUGUGGGGAGCGAAGAUGAUUAGACACCGUCGUAGUCCACCACGGUAAACCAUGCCGGCUCGGUGCCGAGAGCACAUCAUCAUACUAUGCUCCCGGCGCCUGCCAUCCCCCUUCAACGAGAAAUCCAAGCCUUUGGGUUCAGGGGGGAGUACUGUCGCAAGGCUGAAACUUAAAGGAAUUGACGGAAUGGCACCACAAGGCGUGGAGUAUGCGGCUUAAUUUGACUCAACACGGGGAACGUUACCGGGUCCGGACGAUGCCGGGAUGGACAGACCGAGAGCUCUUUCCUGAUUCCUCGGACGGUGGUGCAUGGCCGCUCCCUGAUUGGUGGAGUGAUUUGUCUGGUUGAUUCCGAUAACGAGUGAGACAUCCGCCUCCCACUAGCCUGGACCUCGCAUCCGGUAGGGUCCGGCACGGGUCGCGGGCGGGGUAAGUCGGUCCCUCCCGGGUCCCGGCCCCCCGUCCGUCCCGGUUCGCCGCCCGAGAGGUCUCCAGCCAAGCUUCUCUGAGGCGCUGUGCACGCCCACUCCAAGUGCAAGCACGCUAGAGCCAACAGCAGGUCUGUGAUGCUCCCAGAUGUCCUGGGCCGCACGCGCACUACACUGGACCGGUGAAUGAGCCGAAUGUAUCUGACUGUGUCUUGAGCGCGGCCGUGCCCUGAAGGGGGUGGGAACCCUUGGAAGCCCCGUCCGUGCCUGGGGAUAGAUGCUUGCAACUGUCUGCCUUGAACGAGGAAUGCCUAGUAUGCGCGGGUCAUCAGCCCGCACAGAUUGCGUCCCUGCCAUUUGUACACACCGCCCGUCGUUGCUACCGAUGGCAGCGGGAUAGAGCCGUUAGGAGGAGCGGGCCGUCUUCGGGCGGGCCCGGGCCGAACCUUGGCGAUGUCCCGCUGCUAGAGGAAGCAAAAGUCGUAACAAGGUUGUUGUAGGUGAA